AAGUCGUAACAAGGUUUCCGUAGGUGAACCUGCGGAAGGAUCAUUAUGAAUUUGAAACAAGUAGCUUUACGCUGCUUUCAUUUUCUGUGAACUGUUCACUUGGCCUUCUUUUGAAGGACUUGUGAUAUUUGUAUUCUUGAUUUCUAUUCCAUCCUUUCUAUUUUAUUGUUUCUCCUUGUGAGAAUCGAUUUAAAAGAAAACAAAACCAAGACAACUUUCAGCAAUGGAUCUCUUGGCUCUU
This 241-nucleotide unclassified non-coding RNA is filed under the name fungal sp. Its description in RNAcentral is "partial internal transcribed spacer region". The stretch from base 1 to 46 matches the Rfam family "Eukaryotic small subunit ribosomal RNA", at positions 1786 to 1831 of the family's 1831-position model. Lineage: Eukaryota; Fungi. The record is from RNAcentral.